Molecule: small RNA, 584 nt
Filed under: Fusarium mangiferae
Lineage: Eukaryota; Fungi; Ascomycota; Sordariomycetes; Hypocreales; Nectriaceae
Description: eukaryotic LSU rRNA
Rfam family: 5.8S ribosomal RNA (bases 198-348)
Source: RNAcentral
AAUCAUCCGUAGGGUAACCUGCGGAGGGAUCGGCCAUUACCGAGUACAACUCCCAAACCCCUGUGAACAUACCAAUGUUGCCUCGGCGGAUCAGCCCGCUCCCGGUAAAACGGGACGGCCCGCCAGAGGACCCCUAAACUCUGUUGGCUAUAUGUAACUUCUGAGGGCCAAGGCCAAUAAAACCAUAAAUAAAUCAAAACGGGCAACAACGGAUCUCUUGGUUCUGGCAUCGAUGAAGAACGCAGCAAAAUGCGAUAAGUAAUGUGAAUGCAGAAUCAGUGAAUCAUCGAAUCUGGGAACGCACAUUGCGCCCGCCAGUAUCUGGCGGGCAUGCCUGUUCGAGCGUCAUCAACCCUCAAGCCCCCGGGUGGUGUUGGGGAUCGGCGAGCCCUUGCGGCAAGCCGGCCCCGAAAUCUAGUGGCGGUCUCGCUGCAGCUCCAUUGCGUAGUAGUAAAACCCUCGCAACUGGUACGCGGCGCGGCCAAGCCGUUAAACCCCCAACUUCUGAAUGUUGACCUCGGAUCAGGUAGGAAUACCCGCUGAACUUAAGCAUAUCAAAAGCGGGAGGAAUUGCAGAAAACAUA